CAUCAGUUUCAGGGCGGGGUGAGAGUCCCCACUGGCGGUAAGUGGCCGCACGCCGUGAGCCACGAGUCCGCGCACCGCGAUGAAAAGAGCGGUUGACCUGGUGAGAGUCCAGGACCAACGGUCAUAGUCCGGAUGAGAGAAACGGAGG
RNAcentral lists this non-coding RNA (148 nucleotides) under Olsenella profusa. RNAcentral's name for it is "FMN sequence". It matches the Rfam family "FMN riboswitch aptamer (RFN element)". Rfam says of the family: The RFN element is a highly conserved domain that is found frequently in the 5'-untranslated regions of prokaryotic mRNAs that encode for flavin mononucleotide (FMN) biosynthesis and transport proteins. Lineage: Bacteria; Bacillati; Actinomycetota; Coriobacteriia; Coriobacteriales; Atopobiaceae. RNAcentral also lists the same sequence under 1 other name. The record is from RNAcentral.